This 398-nucleotide ribosomal RNA is filed under the name Camaenidae sp. BL13. RNAcentral's name for it is "partial 16S ribosomal RNA". It matches the Rfam family "Archaeal large subunit ribosomal RNA", at positions 1900 to 2651 of the family's 2987-position model. Lineage: Eukaryota; Metazoa; Mollusca; Gastropoda; Stylommatophora; Camaenidae. The record is from RNAcentral.
CAAAAACAUAGCUGUGUGCUACUACUCAUAGUAUUUUCUGCUCAAUGAGACUUUAAAUGGCCGCAGUACCUUGACUGUGCAAAGGUAGCGAAAUCAAUUGUCUUCUAAUUAAAGUCUUGUAUCAACGAACCUAUGGGGGCCUACUGUACCAGUAAUAGCCUACGAAUUUACUGAGGGCGUGCAAAUACGCUUAUAUCUUAAUAGACGAGAAGACCCUAGAAAUUUUGACAGAUGUUUUUGUUGGGGCAACAUGGUAACAAAGAAUCUACUAUAUGGGCAAGAAAAGUGUAAGAAAGAGUAAAUUACUCUAGGGAUAACAGCAUAAUGCAAAAGCGCUUGUGACCUCGAUGUUGGAUUAGGUAGUUAUAGCCUAGAAGGUAAUUAACUUUGCUCUGUUC